UACGUAGGGGGCAAGCGUUGUCCGGAAUCAUUGGGCGUAAAGCGCGUGUAGGCGGCCCGGUAAGUCCGCUGUGAAAGUCGGGGGCUCAACCCUCGAAUGCCGGUGGAUACUGUCGGGCUAGAGUGCGGAAGAGGCGAGUGGAAUUCCUGGUGUAGCGGUGAAAUGCGCAGAUAUCAGGAGGAACACCAAUUGCGAAGGCAGCUCGCUGGGACGGUACUGACGCUAAGGCGCGAAAGCGUGGGGAGCGAACAGG
Molecule: ribosomal RNA, 253 nt
Filed under: uncultured bacterium
Lineage: Bacteria
Description: partial 16S ribosomal RNA
Rfam family: Bacterial small subunit ribosomal RNA
Source: RNAcentral